This is a long non-coding RNA of Solea solea (common sole), 437 nucleotides long. RefSeq lists it as uncharacterized. The record is from RefSeq and is a predicted model, not a curated record. Lineage: Eukaryota; Metazoa; Chordata; Actinopteri; Pleuronectiformes; Soleidae. The transcript is spliced from 3 exons.
AUUGCAUUACAUUGAAAGAGCAGCACGUGCACAGGUGAAGCAGAGGAGCAACGCAGUGUUCAAACACUCCAUAAAACCUAACGUUAGGUGCAGAGGAAACCGCCGCACCACCGCUUAAGGCACAGUGAUCAUCACCAACGGACAUCGGUGAAGACGAUUUUCAGCCCAGAAAUGUAUCACUGCAAACAGUGUGCCCAUGAGAGUAAAACUAUAAUAGGUUUUACUCAUCAUAUGAAACUUCACAGUAAUGCACCAAACUGCCCUUUUACCUGUGGUAUACCUGAUUGUACCCGUGCAUUCAGAAAAUUUGCAGCCUGUUUCCCCAUUUCCAGUCUGUGCUUAAUUAGGCUAACCAGCUUCUGUCUGAAGCCUUAUAUUUAACAUGAUAUCAUUUUAUUCAUUAUUAUUUAUUUAUGGGGAUUCAAAUUGAGUUCUGA